UACAGAGGUCCCAAGCGUUGUUCGGAUUCACUGGGCGUAAAGGGUGCGUAGGUGGUGAGGUAAGUCGGAUGUGAAAUCUCCGGGCUCAACCCGGAAAUGGCAUUGGAAACUACCUUGCUGGAGGAUUUGAGGGGGGAUUGGAAUACUUGGUGUAGCAGUGAAAUGCGUAGAUAUUGGGAAGAACACCGGUGGCGAAGGCGGCUAUCUGGACCGACAUUGACGCUGAGGCGCGAAAGCGUGGGGAGCAAACAGG
This 253-nucleotide ribosomal RNA is filed under the name uncultured bacterium. RNAcentral describes it as "partial 16S ribosomal RNA". It matches the Rfam family "Bacterial small subunit ribosomal RNA", at positions 524 to 776 of the family's 1533-position model. The record is from RNAcentral.